CCCUCGUUAGUAUAUGCUUGUAUUUCUGGUUUCGGCCCAGAAGGUUAAACGAAGGU
This 56-nucleotide transfer RNA is filed under the name Portunion sinensis. Its description in RNAcentral is "tRNA-Arg". RNAcentral also lists the same sequence under 1 other name. The record is from RNAcentral. Lineage: Eukaryota; Metazoa; Arthropoda; Malacostraca; Isopoda; Entoniscidae.